RNAcentral lists this non-coding RNA (31 nucleotides) under Rattus norvegicus (Norway rat). The record is from RNAcentral. Lineage: Eukaryota; Metazoa; Chordata; Mammalia; Rodentia; Muridae.
UCCNGGGGCACCUGCACUCAACAUGCACACU